AGUGAACGUUGGCGGUAGGCCUAACACAUGCAAGUCGAACGGCAGCACAGUAAGAGCUUGCUCUUACGGGUGGCGAGUGGCGGACGGGUGAGGAAUACAUCGGAAUCUACUUUUUCGUGGGGGAUAACGUAGGGAAACUUACGCUAAUACCGCAUACGACCUACGGGUGAAAGCAGGGGAUCUUCGGACCUUGCGCGAUUGAAUGAGCCGAUGUCGGAUUAGCUAGUUGGCGGGGUAAAGGCCCACCAAGGUGACGAUCCGUAGCUGGUCUGAGAGGAUGAUCAGCCACACUGGAACUGAGACACGGUCCAGACUCCUACGGGAGGCAGCAGUGGGGAAUAUUGGACAAUGGGCGCAAGCCUGAUCCAGCCAUACCGCGUGGGUGAAGAAGGCCUUCGGGUUGUAAAGCCCUUUUGUUGGGAAAGAAAAGCAGCAGGUUAAUACCCCGCUGUUCUGACGGUACCCAAAGAAUAAGCACCGGCUAACUUCGUG
This 492-nucleotide ribosomal RNA is filed under the name uncultured bacterium. Its description in RNAcentral is "partial 16S ribosomal RNA". It matches the Rfam family "Bacterial small subunit ribosomal RNA", at positions 29 to 507 of the family's 1533-position model. The record is from RNAcentral.